RNAcentral lists this ribosomal RNA (497 nucleotides) under uncultured bacterium. RNAcentral's name for it is "partial 16S ribosomal RNA". It matches the Rfam family "Bacterial small subunit ribosomal RNA", at positions 28 to 507 of the family's 1533-position model. The record is from RNAcentral.
GAUGAACGCUGGCGGCGUGCCUAAUACAUGCAAGUCGAGCGAACAGACGAGGAGCUUGCUCCUCUGACGUUAGCGGCGGACGGGUGAGUAACACGUGGAUAACCUACCUAUAAGACUGGGAUAACUUCGGGAAACCGGAGCUAAUACCGGAUAAUAUAUUGAACCGCAUGGUUCAAUAGUGAAAGACGGUUUUGCUGUCACUUAUAGAUGGAUCCGCGCCGCAUUAGCUAGUUGGUAAGGUAACGGCUUACCAAGGCAACGAUGCGUAGCCGACCUGAGAGGGUGAUCGGCCACACUGGAACGGAGACACGGUCCAGACUCCAACGGGAGGCAGCAGUAGGGAAUCUUGCGCAAUGGGCGAAGGCCUGACGGGGCAACGCCGCGUGAGUGAUGAAGGUCUUCGGAUCGUAAGACUCUGUUAUUAGGGAAGAACAAAUGUGUAAGUAACUAUGCACGUCUUGACGGUACCUAAUCAGAAAGCCACGGCUAACUACGUG